CAGUAGCCGCGGUAACACGAAGGGGGCUAGCGUUGUUCGGAUUUACUGGGCGUAAAGCGCACGUAGGCGGAUCGAUCAGUCAGGGGUGAAAUCCCAGAGCUCAACUCUGGAACUGCCUUUGAUACUGUCGAUCUGGAGUAUGGAAGAGGUGAGUGGAAUUCCGAGUGUAGAGGUGAAAUUCGUAGAUAUUCGGAGGAACACCAGUGGCGAAGGCGGCUCACUGGUCCAUUACUGACGCUGAGGUGCGAAAGCGUGGGGAGCAAACAGGAUUAGAUACCCCUGUAGUCCCUGUCUCUUAUAC
This 301-nucleotide ribosomal RNA is filed under the name uncultured bacterium. RNAcentral describes it as "partial 16S ribosomal RNA". It matches the Rfam family "Bacterial small subunit ribosomal RNA", at positions 509 to 807 of the family's 1533-position model. The record is from RNAcentral.